This 83-nucleotide transfer RNA is filed under the name Candidatus Hydrogenedentes bacterium CG1_02_42_14. Its description in RNAcentral is "tRNA-Leu". It matches the Rfam family "tRNA". Rfam says of the family: Transfer RNA (tRNA) molecules are approximately 80 nucleotides in length. Their secondary structure includes four short double-helical elements and three loops (D, anti-codon, and T loops). Lineage: Bacteria; Pseudomonadati; Candidatus Hydrogenedentota. The record is from RNAcentral. RNAcentral also lists the same sequence under 1 other name.
GCCGGAGUGGCGGAAUGGCAGACGCGCCGGACUCAAAAUCCGGUAGGGGCAACUCUGUGUGGGUUCAACUCCCACCUCCGGCA